UCUCACACACAGGGGAGCGCCACCGGGCGCUGAGAGUGCGGAACAAGACCGCAGACCCUCAAACCUGAUCCGGUUAGCACCGGCGUAGGGAGUGAGUCUCCUCGGCUU
This 108-nucleotide non-coding RNA is filed under the name Tessaracoccus bendigoensis. Its description in RNAcentral is "TPP sequence". It matches the Rfam family "TPP riboswitch aptamer (THI element)". From Rfam's summary of the family: Vitamin B(1) in its active form thiamin pyrophosphate (TPP) is an essential coenzyme that is synthesised by coupling of pyrimidine and thiazole moieties in bacteria. The previously detected thiamin-regulatory element, thi box was extended, resulting in a new, highly conserved RNA secondary structure, the THI element, which is widely distributed in eubacteria and also occurs in some archaea. Analysis of operon structures identified a large number of new candidate thiamin-regulated genes, mostly transporters, in various prokaryotic organisms. The record is from RNAcentral. Lineage: Bacteria; Bacillati; Actinomycetota; Actinomycetes; Propionibacteriales; Propionibacteriaceae. RNAcentral also lists the same sequence under 1 other name.